This is a long non-coding RNA of Carassius carassius (crucian carp), 460 nucleotides long. RefSeq lists it as uncharacterized. The transcript is spliced from 2 exons. The record is from RefSeq and is a predicted model, not a curated record. Lineage: Eukaryota; Metazoa; Chordata; Actinopteri; Cypriniformes; Cyprinidae.
UUUGCUUGACCUGGGUUUAACUGGUAAAAUAAGGAAGUCGUGUCUAUAAGCUGUAUAUGUGUGUUUGAGUGGACUGUAGGUGCCACCUGGGUACUAAUGAGUGAGUAAUUAGGCUCUGGCACAUGCACAAACAGCCACACCUCGCUCCUUAGGACCCCAGCCACCAUAUGCUGCACCAGUUGGGAGCUAAACUUGCCAAGACCAAAAAGAAAGAGAAGAAAGAGAAAAGUGGUGAAAACUGACCCCAGCAUAGCGAAGACAUGGUGGAAAUGUUUGAUCUAAAGACUUUAGAGAAAUCUUGGAGAGAAAGCCCUCUUUCAACCACUUUCAGGAGCGUGUAAAAUCAGCAUAUGCCAGCCAAAUGUUGGUGGGUCUAUUUGUUUGUCAGCUUCUGAAAUGUUGUCCCUCCCCACUGUGAAACGCGGUAACAAAGUCCCAUCUAAAAGAUACCAUUUACAUA